Molecule: unclassified non-coding RNA, 261 nt
Filed under: Hevea brasiliensis (rubber tree)
Lineage: Eukaryota; Viridiplantae; Streptophyta; Magnoliopsida; Malpighiales; Euphorbiaceae
Source: RNAcentral
AUGCCCAUGGUCCAGGGAUGACAAUGGAAGCUACGGUCUAUGAAACUACUUCUGGGCCGGAGGAUAGUGACAAGGAAGAGGAUGAUGAUGUUGUAGAGGAGGUGGUGGGUACAAAGGAGCAAAACAAUGCUGUUGGACACAAAGACAAUGUCCGAGUUGUGGAGAAUGAGGAAUCUAGCUCCAACAAAGUUGUUGGGAGGCCUUCAGUAUUUCAAGUGAAAUGAAGGAGAUCGGAAGGUGGAGCUUUUAUCAAACAGUGAG